UACGGGAGGCAGCAGUGGGGAAUAUUGCACAAUGGGCGAAAGCCUGAUGCAGCUAUGCCGCGUGUAUGAAGAAGGCCUUAGGGUUCUAAAGUACUUUCAUCGGGGAGGAAAAACAAAACUAAUAAUUUUAUUUCUUGACGUUACCCGAAAAAGAAGCACCGGCUAACUCCGUGCCAGCAGCCGCGGUAAUACGGAGGGUGCUAGCGUUAAUCAGAAUUACUGGGCGUAAAGAGCACGUAGGUGGUUUUUUUAAGUCAGAUGUGAAAUCCCUGGGCUUAACCUAGGAACUGCAUUUUGAAACUGAAAUACUAGAGUAUCGUAGAGGGAGGUAGAAUUCUAGGUGUAGCGGUGAAAUGCGUAGAUAUCUGGAGGAAUACCUGUGGCGAAAGCGGCCUCCUAAACGAAUACUGACACUGAGGUGCGAAAGCGUGGGGAGCAAACAGGGAUUAGAUACC
RNAcentral lists this ribosomal RNA (455 nucleotides) under uncultured bacterium. Its description in RNAcentral is "bacterial SSU rRNA". It matches the Rfam family "Bacterial small subunit ribosomal RNA", at positions 340 to 786 of the family's 1533-position model. The record is from RNAcentral.